RNAcentral lists this long non-coding RNA (5986 nucleotides) under Hordeum vulgare. RNAcentral describes it as "long non-coding RNA (HVUL_LNC007221)". Lineage: Eukaryota; Viridiplantae; Streptophyta; Magnoliopsida; Poales; Poaceae. The record is from RNAcentral.
UUCAUCCCUCGCCUGCGGAGCAGCAUCGUCAGCGUCGGGCAGCUCGACGAGAGUGCCUGCAAGUCCGUGAUCGUGAGCGGCGCGUUCACUCUCAAUGAUCGACGCGGAAAGGUGUCCGCGCGCACCUCGCGAGCACGCAACUGCCUCUACCCCUACGACAUGCAGCUGGCCCAGCCGGUGUUCCUGGCCGUGGACACCAGCACAGACGAGGCGUGCCGUUGGCACGCUAGGUAUGGACACAUGAAUUUCAACAUGGUAUUAGAGUUAGGUCAAUUUUUUCCACGUUGCAACUUGUGCGAUUGAUCCUCUGUGGCCGCCGCCACUGCUUCUCUCUCUCGUAGCCGCUGCUUCUCCACGUCCUCCCCGCUCCUUCUGGAUCGAAGCUAUUGGAAUCCCUCUGGAUCGAAUCCAUCAGGAAUCAAAGGAAGCCACCCGUCUCCUCCGGUUUGACUCCAUCGAGCCUACCGAGGAUCGUCGUUGUUGCUGCCGGUCUCCGCCCUGUGCAGCCCCUUGUCGGACUUUGCCGCCGACCGCCGGAUCCCGCGCUCCUCACCGCCGGCCGCCAGAUCCCUCGCUCCUCGCCGCCGGCCGCCGGAUCCCGCGCUCCUCGCCACCGGCCGCCGGAUCCUGUGCUCCUCGCCGUCAGUUGCCAGGUUCAAUCGUCCCCAGCCACAAGAUCGGGCCGCCUCGUUGCAGUUCUGCUGCUGUUGCUAGCUCUCGCCCGAUCCGCCUGUUGCGAGUGCUAACUGCGGUUAGCAUCAGGCGCCUCUUCUGUUUGCCUAGUGAUUGCUAGCUAAAAAAAAUUAUGCCUUCCGCUUGUCCAUCCGUGGCGUUUGAGGGUGUUUCCUACCCUGCUUUCGUCUCGCCCAUGCGUCGUUUCUCGGUUCAGCAUGGUGCUCGUUCGUCUGUGACGUCCUUCUGUCUGCGGUCUUCCGCCAACUGUGUGGGUCGCUCUUCUAUGACUCUUGUGACCUCCACACAUGGUGAUUGUCAAUCUACAUUGAUUCCUUCCGUGACUUCUACCGGUGAUUGUCACUCCGCCAACUGUGUAGGUCACUCUUCUACGACUCCUGCGACCUCCACGCCUGGUGAUUAUCGAUCUACAUCGACUCUUCCUGUGACUCCUAUCGGUGAUUGUCACUCUACAUCGACUCUUUCCGUGACUUCUAUUGGUGAUUGUCACUCUACACCGACUCCUCUCAUCGACUGUAUUGGUGCAUAUGACUUCAUCGACACACGCCUUCCCUUGGCGCUUGGGACUCGUCUGUGUGCGCCCUCGUCUCCUUCAUCAACUCUUGUGGGUGCUACUGGUUAUGCUACACGGCGACAUCUAGCGGCUUCCACAGGCGGUGGUGGUUGCUCCUCUCCCUAUGCUACUACGCCACCUACUUCAGCUGUGUACUUCACCGAGGACAAGAUUACGCGAGUUCGCGCCCUGCUGAUUGCCUCCGGCUCUCUAUUGUCGGGUGCGUCUAUAUCGACAUCUUCAGUUGCGCCCCUGACUGAGCAGGAGAUUGGGCGAUUUCGAUGUCUGCUCGCUCCACCUUCUGGUUCUUCAUCGACAGGUUCUGUUGGUUCUGCUGCGGACUCUUCUGGCAUUGUGAGACCACCUUCUACACAAGCAGGUACAUCUCCGUGGAUUCUUGAUACUGGAGCAUCUUUUCAUAUGACUCAUGAUUCAUCAACUCUGUCAUCUACUCGACCUCUUGGUUCUCAUGUUCAUGUUCUUACUGUUGAUGGUACUUCUCUCCCGUUUACUGGCCGAGGCACUCUUAGCACUUCAUCUUUUCAUGUUCUCGAUGUUGCUCGUGUUCCUCGGCUUACCAUGCAGCUCAUUUCUGGUGGUAAUAUUGUUGACUCUGGUUGUCGGGUCAUUCUUGACUUUGACUCAUGUUCAGUUCUGGACCGUCACGCUGGUGCUCUUCUUGGUGCUGGCCCCCGGCGCCGUGACUCUCAGGGUCUCUAGGAGCUUGACUGGCUUCACCUUCCAUCCGCUGCCACCGCAGCCAGUCUCUCCACCUCUGUUGCCUUGUCUACCAGCUCUUUUCAGCAGUGGCAUCAUCGUCUGGAUCAUUUAUGUGGCUCUCGUCUCUCAUCCUUAGUUCGACGUGGUCUUCUUGGAUCCGUCUCCGGUGGUGUGUCUUUAGACUGUCAGGGUUGCCGGCUUGGUAAACAGGUUCAGUUACCUUAUACUCAUAAAGAGACUGUGUCUCAAUGUCCUUUUGACCUUGUUCACUCUAAUGUUUGGGGUCUAGCUCCCUUUGCCUCGAAGGGAGGCCAUCGCUACUAUAUUAUCUUCAUAGAUGAUUUCUCUCGACACACGUGGAUCUAUUUCAUGUCUUCUCGUAGUGAGGUCUUAUCUAUCUAUAAGUGUUUUGCUGCCAUGGUUCACACUCAGUUCUCUACGCCUAUUCGUGUGUUCCGUGCUGACUCUGCUAGAGAGUAUAUCUCCAAGAUGUUGCGUGGAUUUCUCGCUGAGCAGGGUACACUUGUUCAGUUCUCUUGUCCUGGUGCUCAUGCACAGAAUGGUGUGGCUGAGCGCAAGCAUCGUCACCUUCUUAAGACGGCUCAUGCGAUGAUGAUCGUUGCCUCUCUUCCGCCUCACUUUUGGGCUGAGGUUGUCUCCACUUCCACCUAUCUCAUCAACCUUCAGCCAUACGUUGCCUUGUAGGGUGGCGUUCCUUUCGAGCGUCCCUUUGAUCGUUCUUCCGAUUACUCGGCGCUUCGUUUGUUUGGUUGUGUUUGUUAUGUUCUUCUUGCCCCUCGCGAACGCACCAAACUGACCGCUCAGUCCGUUGAGUGUGUCUUCUUAGGCUAUAGUGAUGAGCAUAAGGGCUAUCGUUGUUGGGAUCCUAUCGGUCGUCGGAUGUGUAUUUCUCGGGAUGUGACUUUUGAUGAGUCUCGUCCCUUCUACCCGCGCCCAUCUUCCUCAACCUUUUCAGUGGAGGAUAUCUCUUUCCUCACUUUUCCUGACACACCUAUCACCCCCAUCGAGCCUUUGUCUAUUCGUUCUGCUACCUUUACUUCUCCACCUCUUACCGAUUUGCCGCCACCAUCUCCCACGGUUUCCUCACCUAGCAUUUCGCCAGAUUAUGCACCUUCAUCUCCGAUGACUUCUUCGUCUCCACCCCCUGAUUCUACCUCAGCGAUUCCUCCUUGUAUUCUUCUGUUCCUCAGUAUUUCACUCGUCGUUCACGAAAUGUGGUUGCCUCUGCGGAUGUGUCGUCCUCCUUGUCUCAGACUACCUAUGAUUUGCGCCCUCGUCCUCGUCCGCCUGUUGAUCGCCUUGGAUUUCCCACCGCUGGUGCUGCUGUUCUUGAGCCGACUUCUUAUCGUCAGGAUGUUGUUCAUCCCGAAUGGCAGUUUGCGAUGGCAGAGGAGAUUGCUGCUUGAACGCACUGGUACAUGGGAUCUUAUUUCUCUUCCUCCCGGUGUCCGUCCCAUCACUUGUAAGUGGGUCUACAAGGUUAAGACUCGCUCUGAUGGUUCUCUUGAGCAUUACAAAGCUCGUCUUAUGGCUCGUGGCUUUCAGCGGGAGCAUGGUCGUGAUUACAACGAGACUUUUGCUCCUAUGGCCCAUAUGACCACUAUUCGUACACUUCUUACCGUGGCCUCUGCACGCCACUGGUCUGUAUCUCGGCUUGAUGUUAAGGAUACCUUUCUUAAAGGUGAGCUGCGUGCGGAGGUGUACAUGCAGCCACCACCUGGGUAUUCUGUUCCUGAUGGCAUGGUAUGUCGUCUUCGUCGCUCUCUCUAUGGCCUUAAGCAAGUCCCCUGCGCCUGGUUUGAGCGUUUUGCCUCUGUGGUGACUGCCGCUGGUUUUUCAGCAAGUGCUCAUGAUCCAGCAUUGUUUGUCCACCUUUAUCCUCGUGGUCGGACUCUUCUUCUUCUCUAUGUUGAUGACAUGAUCAUCACUGGUGAUGACCCCGAGUAUAUUGCCUUUGUAAAAGCCCAUCUUAGUGAGCAGUUUCUUAUGUCUGAUCUUGGACCACUUCGCUACUUUCUUGGGAUUGAAGUCUCUUCUACCUCUGAUGGCUUUUUUAUAUCCCAGGAAAAGUAUAUCCAGAAUCUUCUUGCUCAUGCUGCUCUUACUGACGAGCGCAUUGUUGAGACUCCCAUGGAGCUGAAUGUUCACCUCCGUGAUACUGAUGGUGACCCCCUGCCUGACCCGACGCGUUAUCGUCAUCUUGUUGGCAGUCUUGUCUAUCUAGCUGUCACUCGUCCGGAUAUCUCUUAUCAGGUUCAUAUUCUGAGUCAGUUUGUCUCCGCUCCCACCUCGGUUCACUAUAGUCACCUCCUUCAUGUUCUCCGAUAUCUUCAGGCACGAUCUCUCACUGUCUAUUCUUUCCUUGCUCCAGUUCUUUACAGCUUCAGGCCUAUUCGGAUGCUACAUGGGCUAGUGAUCCUUCAGAUCGCCGUUCACUUUCUGCUUACUAUGUUUUUCUUGGUGGUUCUCUCAUUGCCUGGAAGACAAAGAAACAGACCGCGGUUUCCCGUUCGAGUGCAGAGGCUGAGUUGCGAGCUAUGGCUCUUUUGACGGCAGAGGUGACUUGGUUACGGUAGUUACUUCAAGAUUUUGGUGUUUCUGUCACUACACCUGCUCUGCUCUUAUCUGACAGUACAGGUGCUAUCAGCAUUGCGCGCGAUCCUGUGAAGCAUUAGCUCACCAAGCAUAUUGGUGUUGAUGCUUUCUAUGUGCACGCUGGUGUGCAGGAUCAGGUUAUUGCUCUUCAGUAUGUGCCUUCCGACUUAUAGUUGGCGGAUUUCCUGACGAAGGCCCAGACGAGCGCAACAUAGCUUCUAUCUCUCCAAACUCAGUGUUGUUCAUCCACCAUGAAUUUGAGGGGGGUGUUAGAAUAUAUAUAAUAUAGCCAUGUACCCUUUUGUACUUAUCCCAUUGUAUAAGGGGUUUCCUGCAUAUAUUCCACACCUGUACAUGUAUAUAUAUCGGCCUAUGGCCUCAUGGGAAUACAAGUUGUAUAUUUCCUAACAAGCCACACCAUUCUGAGCAUGAGCACCAGAGCAGGAGAACUGAGUAAGAGUACCCUGCUCAGCAAGAAAUCCUCUUAGCGCAUGACAGAUAUACUCACCAGCUGAAUUUGCGCGAAAAACACGAAUAGGAGUGGAAAACUGGGUAUGAACCAUGGCAGCAAAUUUUUUGUAUAUAGAUAAGACCUCACUACGAGAAGACAUGAAAUAGAUCCAAGUGUACCGAGAAAAAUCGCCUAUAAAGAUAAUAUAGUAGCGNAUAAUAUAGUAGCGAUGACCCCCUUUUGAAGCGAAGGGAGCCGGGCCCCAAACAUCAGAGUGAACGAGAUCAUAAGGACGCUCGGAUACUGACUCACUAUGAGGGUAGGGUAGCUGAAUCUGCUUACAAAGUCUACAACCCAGACAAUCCAACAAAGCGUUCCAGGAGACAGACCCCAGAACACCGCGAUGAACCAAAGACAAGAGACGAGAACCACAUAACUGGCCAAGACGAUGAUGCCACUGCUGAAAAGAGUUGGUAGAUGCAGCUACAGGGGCUGCGAGACUGGCAGCGGUGGCAACAGAGGAAAGACGAAGCCAGUCAAGCUCCCAGAGACCAUCAGAGCGUCGAGGGCCAGCACCAAGCAGAGCACCCAUGUGACGAUCCUAAACAAAACACAAAUCAAAGUCGAGAAUGACCCUACAACUAGAGUCAACAAUCUGACCACCAGAUAUGAGUUGCAUGGUAAGUCGAGGAACAUGAGCGACAGAGGGCACAUGAAAUGAAGAAGUGCUAAGAGUGCCUCGACUAGCUACAGGUAGGGGAGUGCCAUCAGUCGUAAGAACACAAACUGGAGACUCGACGAGUCGAACAGAGGUCGAACUGGACGAAUUAUAAGUCAUAUGAAAAGACACUCCAGUAUCAAGAAUCCAUGGGGAUGUAUCUAAAUGAGUAGAUGGUGGUUUCUCAAUGCCAGAAGAGUCAGCCAUGGAAACUGCAGAACCUAUCGAUGAAGAA